GAUGAACGCUGGCGGCGUGCCUAAUACAUGCAAGUCGAGCGAACGGACGAGAAGCUCGCUUCUCUGAUGUUAGCGGCGGACGGGCGAGUAACAAGUGGAUAACCUACCUAUAAGACUGGGAUAAUUUCGGGAAACCGGAGCUAAUACCGGAUAAUAUUUUGAACCGCAUGGUUCAAAAGUGAAAGACGGUCUUGCUGUCACUUAUAGAUGGUUCCGCGCUGCAUUAGCUAGUUGGUAAGGUAACGGCUUACCAAGGCAACGAUGCGUAGCUGACCUGAGAGGAUGAUCGGCCACACUGGAACUGAGACACGGUCCAGACUCCUACGGGAGGCAGCAGUAGGGAAUCUUCGGCAAUGGGCGCAAGCCUGACGCAGCAACGCCGCGUGAGUGAUGAAGGUCUUCGGGUCGUAAAACUCUGUUAUUAGGGAAGAACAGAUGUGUAAGUAACUGUGCACAUCUUGACGGUACCUAAUCAGAAAGCCACGGCUAACUUCGUG
This 497-nucleotide ribosomal RNA is filed under the name uncultured bacterium. Its description in RNAcentral is "partial 16S ribosomal RNA". It matches the Rfam family "Bacterial small subunit ribosomal RNA", at positions 28 to 507 of the family's 1533-position model. The record is from RNAcentral.